Molecule: ribosomal RNA, 151 nt
Filed under: Hygrophorus cossus
Lineage: Eukaryota; Fungi; Basidiomycota; Agaricomycetes; Agaricales; Hygrophoraceae
Description: 5.8S ribosomal RNA
Rfam family: 5.8S ribosomal RNA (bases 20-151)
About the family: 5.8S ribosomal RNA (5.8S rRNA) is a component of the large subunit of the eukaryotic ribosome. It is transcribed by RNA polymerase I as part of the 45S precursor that also contains 18S and 28S rRNA.
Source: RNAcentral
UGUAUAUCUUAAAUUAAUACAACUUCAACAACGGAUCUCUUGGCUCUCGCAUCGAUGAAGAACGCAGCGAAAUGCGAUAAGUAAUGUGAAUUGCAGAAUUCAGUGAAUCAUCGAAUCUUUGAACGCACCUUGCGCUCCUUGGUAUUCCGAG